RNAcentral lists this transfer RNA (86 nucleotides) under Methanosarcinales archaeon. RNAcentral's name for it is "tRNA-Ser". It matches the Rfam family "tRNA". Rfam says of the family: Transfer RNA (tRNA) molecules are approximately 80 nucleotides in length. Their secondary structure includes four short double-helical elements and three loops (D, anti-codon, and T loops). RNAcentral also lists the same sequence under 1 other name. The record is from RNAcentral. Lineage: Archaea; Methanobacteriati; Methanobacteriota; Methanomicrobia; Methanosarcinales.
GCCGAGGUGGCCGAGUGGACUAAGGCGCAGGCCUGGAGAGCCUGUGUCCCGUGAGGGGCGCAAGGGUUCAAAUCCCUUCCUCGGCG